CAUUUAUCAGUGACAGUGCUCACUAUAAAUG
Molecule: non-coding RNA, 31 nt
Organism: Xenopus laevis (African clawed frog)
Lineage: Eukaryota; Metazoa; Chordata; Amphibia; Anura; Pipidae
Source: Rfam